Quercus lobata is the source of this 1456-nucleotide long non-coding RNA. RefSeq lists it as uncharacterized. Lineage: Eukaryota; Viridiplantae; Streptophyta; Magnoliopsida; Fagales; Fagaceae. The transcript has 7 exons. The record is from RefSeq and is a predicted model, not a curated record.
GUCAACACGUCUCUGUGUCUCUAAACUGAAGACUCUGUGUCUAGGCCUUCCAUACCCAGUGCCACCCCUUCUCAAUAUGUGAGUGUAGAUUUGAGAAGAAAGAGCUUAGAGAGAUGGAGAUGGAUAUGUACAGAUGUGUGGAAUGUGGGUUUCGGAUCAAAACACUGUCCGUGCAGUACUCACCUGGAAACAUCCGACUCAUGAAAUGCAUACAGACCCAUUUGUUUUCUUUCCUUUCUUCCUUUCUUUCUCUUUUUUGUCUUCCUUAAAUUUCAUUUACACGGUACAAUUAAUUUUCUGAUUUGCUGGCUUUGAUAGGAGAAUUGCAAAGCAGUUGCUGAUGAGUACAUUGAAUGUAAUUUCUUGAUUCUUCUAAUUGAUUUGAUUCUGCACAAGCCCAAAGCAUAUAGACAUUUACUCUUUAACGUUCUUAAACAAGGAGCUCCACAUUUUGAGGGUUUAUUGUGGAAGUCAACUAUUGGUUAUCUUCUUUUGGAUGCUUGUAUCCAUUGUCAUUGGGAUGAUAUUUCUUCUUUUGAUCUAAGAUUUUCAAUAAUUAUUUAAAGUCGGGCUACGAUUAUGAUUGAGUGCCUUAGCAAUACCCUAGACAGGAUACAAGCAUCCAACACAAUGGCAGUAAAAGGCUUUCUGGCUUGUGGGCUCUAAUUGGAAAAUUCAUGAAAUCAAAGUAUGAAGGUUUGGUAGGCAGUGAUAGCACUGUCUUAAUCUUUUAGCAAAUGGAACUGUCGUUCGAUUUGAAGGCCCUUUGGUGUACCUUCCUGUUAGUAGAUCUCGAAGUAAACAUCAGUUUGGUUUUGUAAAAUAGUGAUGACUGAAUCAGCUAUGAGUAGAUGCAUACGAGCCUGCUUCAGUGCACAUGCUGUUAAGAUUUUCACCACUCAGGACCGUAUCUAUUUUUGAACUUUGCUCUGUACGUAGGGUCCAAGGAAACUUAUGAAAAGGCUGAUGAGGUUCUAAAGUAGGAUAUUUUGGAUUGUUGGACGCCAGAAAAUCACUACGGAUGGAUUGAAUCUAAGUGUUAAACAUUUCUAGAUUUAGACCAUUGGUAAUGAUUUUCUGGAGUCCAACAGUCCAAGAUAUCCAACUUUAGAACCUCAUCAGCCUUUUCAUCAGUUUCCUUGGACCCUACCUCUGAGGUCCACGAAAAUGGAGGUGUAUCAUAUGAAGUUGGGUAGGUGUAUUCAAUCGAUAAGUGGACCAAAUGGGGACUGUAUGCUCGUCAGCUACUCCAGCUCAGUACAUGGUCUUCUUCUUCGGGCUCUAUCUGGUUGCUUUGGGGACUGGUGGGAUCAAACCUUGUGUUGAUCAGUACUGCCUUGAUGAUUUAGGUUAGUUUUUAGUGCAUGUAGCGCUGCUGCUUGGUUUUCUUGCCUUUUUGGGUGGACAUCAUACUAUGUUGCUUUUGUCAUGGUUUUAUUUCUGCGCAAACAGCUUC